This 460-nucleotide ribosomal RNA is filed under the name uncultured bacterium. RNAcentral's name for it is "partial 16S ribosomal RNA". It matches the Rfam family "Bacterial small subunit ribosomal RNA", at positions 338 to 795 of the family's 1533-position model. The record is from RNAcentral.
CCUACGGGUGGCUGCAGUGAGGAAUAUUGGUCAAUGGACGAGAGUCUGAACCAGCCAAGUAGCGUGAAGGAUGACUGCCCUAUGGGUUGUAAACUUCUUUUAUAAAGGAAUAAAACGAGGCACGUGUGCCUUUUUGUCUGUACUUUAUGAAUAAGGAUCGGCUAACUCCGUGCCAGCAGCCGCGGUAAUACGGAGGAUCCGAGCGUUAUCCGGAUUUAUUGGGUUUAAAGGGAGCGUAGAUGGGUUGUUAAGUCAGUUGUGAAAGUUUGCGGCUCAACCGUAAAAUUGCAAUUGAUACUGGCAGUCUUGAGUACAGUUGAGGUAGGCGGAAUUCGUGGUGUAGCGGUGAAAUGCUUAGAUAGCACGAAGAACCCCGAUUGCGAAGGCAGCUUACUAAACUGUGACUGACAUUGAUGCUCGAAAGUGUGGGUAUCAAACAGGAUUAGAUACCCCGGUAGUC